GAUGAACGCUAGCGGCAGGCUUAAUACAUGCAAGUCGAGGGACAGCACAGGUAGCAAUACUGGGUGGUAACCGGCAAACGGGUGCGGAACACGUACACAACCUUCCUUUAAGUGGGGGAUAGCCCAGAGAAAUUUGGAUUAAUACCCCGUAAUAUAGUUGAAUGGCAUCAUUUGAUUAUUAUAGCUACGGCGCUUAAUGAUGGGUGUGCGGCUGAUUAGAUAGUUGGCGGGGUAACGGCCCACCAAGUCUACGAUCAGUAGCUGAUGUGAGAGCAAGAUCAGCCACACGGGCACUAGGACACGGGCCCGACUCCUACGGGAGGCAGCAGUAAGGAAUAUUGGUCAAUGGACGCAAGUCUGAACCAGCCAUGCCGCGUGAAGGAUUAAGGUCCUACGGAUUGUAAACUUCUUUUAUUUGGGACGAAAAAGGGCCUUUCUAGGUCAACUGACGGUACCAGAUGAAUAAGCACCGGCUAACUCCGUGCCAGCCGCCGCGGUAA
RNAcentral lists this ribosomal RNA (500 nucleotides) under uncultured bacterium. Its description in RNAcentral is "partial 16S ribosomal RNA". It matches the Rfam family "Bacterial small subunit ribosomal RNA", at positions 28 to 523 of the family's 1533-position model. The record is from RNAcentral.